GACGAACGCUGGCGGCGUGCUUAACACAUGCAAGUCGAACGGUGAAGCGCCUUCCUUUUUGGUGGGUGUGGAUGAGUGGCGAACGGGUGAGUAACACGUGAGUAACCUGCCCCCUUCUUCUGGAUAACCGCAUGAAAGUGUGGCUAAUACGGGAUAUUCUGGGUCUGUCGCAUGAUGGGUCUGGGAAAGAUAUUGUUUCGGUGGGGGAUGGGCUCGCGGCCUAUCAGCUUGUUGGUGGGGUGAUGGCCUAUCAAGGCGGUGGCGUGUAGCCGGCCUGAGAGGGUGGACGGGCACGCGGGGACUGAGGCACGGACCAGACUCCUACGGGAGGCAGCAGUGGGGAAGAUUGCACAAUGGGCGCAAGCCUGAUGCAGCGACGCCGCGUGAGGGAUGGAGGCCUUCGGGUUGUGAACCUCUUUCGCCAGUGAAGCAGGCCUGCCUCGUUUGUGGGUGGGUUGACGGUAGCUGGAUAAGAAGCGCCGGCUAACUACGUG
This 494-nucleotide ribosomal RNA is filed under the name uncultured bacterium. Its description in RNAcentral is "partial 16S ribosomal RNA". It matches the Rfam family "Bacterial small subunit ribosomal RNA", at positions 28 to 507 of the family's 1533-position model. The record is from RNAcentral.